Molecule: ribosomal RNA, 467 nt
Filed under: uncultured bacterium
Lineage: Bacteria
Description: bacterial SSU rRNA
Rfam family: Bacterial small subunit ribosomal RNA
Source: RNAcentral
GGGCCCGCACAAGCGGAGGAACAUGUGGUUUAAUUCGAUGAUACGCGAGGAACCUUACCCGGGUUUAAAUGUAGAUUGCAUAGAGUAGAGAUAUUCUUUUCCUUUACGGGACCAUCUACAAGGUGCUGCAUGGUUGUCGUCAGCUCGUGCCGUGAGGUGUCGGGUUAAGUCCCAUAACGAGCGCAACCCUUGCUACCAGUUACCAGCAUGUAAAGAUGGGGACUCUGGUAGGACUGCCGCCGUAAGGCGUGAGGAAGGAGGGGAUGACGUCAAAUCAGCACGGCCCUUACAUCCGGGGCGACACACGUGUUACAAUGGUCGGUACAGAGGGCAGCUACACCGCGAGGUGAUGCUAAUCUCGAAAGCCGAUCGUAGUUCGGAUUGGAGUCUGCAACUCGACUCCAUGAAGCUGGAUUCGCUAGUAAUCGCAUAUCAGCCAUGAUGCGGUGAAUACGUUCCCGGGCCUU